RNAcentral lists this ribosomal RNA (496 nucleotides) under uncultured bacterium. Its description in RNAcentral is "partial 16S ribosomal RNA". It matches the Rfam family "Bacterial small subunit ribosomal RNA", at positions 29 to 507 of the family's 1533-position model. The record is from RNAcentral.
AUGAACGCUGGCGGCGUGCCUAAUACCUGCAAGUCGAGCGAACAGACGAGGAGCUUGCUCCUCUGACGUUAGCGGCGGACGGGUGAGUAACACGUGGAUAACCUACCUAUAAGACUGGGAUAACUUCGGGAAACCGGAGCUAAUACCGGAUAAUAUAUUGAACCGCAUGGUUCAAUAGUGAAAGACGGUUUUGCUGUCACUUAUAGAUGGAUCCGCGCCGCAUUAGCUAGUUGGUAAGGUAACGGCUUACCAAGGCAACGAUGCGUAGCCGACCUGAGAGGGUGAUCGGCCACACUGGAACUGAGACACGGUCCAGACUCCUACGGGAGGCAGCAGUAGGGAAUCUUCCGCAAUGGACGAAAGCCUGACGGAGCAACACCGCGUGAGUGAUGAAGGUCUUCGGAUCGUAAAACUCUGUUAUUAGGGAAGAACAAAUGUGUAAGUAACUAUGCACGUCUUGACGGUACCUAAUCAGAAAGCCACGGCUAACUACGUG